Molecule: ribosomal RNA, 253 nt
Filed under: uncultured bacterium
Lineage: Bacteria
Description: partial 16S ribosomal RNA
Rfam family: Bacterial small subunit ribosomal RNA
Source: RNAcentral
UACGAAGGGGGCUAGCGUUGCUCGGAAUCACUGGGCGUAAAGCGCACGUAGGCGGAUUGCUAAGUCAGGGGUGAAAUCCUGGAGCUCAACUCCAGAACUGCCUUUGAUACUGGCGACCUUGAGUCCGGGAGAGGUGAGUGGAACUGCGAGUGUAGAGGUGAAAUUCGUAGAUAUCAGGAGGAACACCGAUGGCGAAGGCGGCUUUCUGGACAGUAACUGACGCUGAGACGCGAAAGCUAGGGGAGCAAACAGG